RNAcentral lists this ribosomal RNA (497 nucleotides) under uncultured bacterium. RNAcentral describes it as "partial 16S ribosomal RNA". It matches the Rfam family "Bacterial small subunit ribosomal RNA", at positions 28 to 507 of the family's 1533-position model. The record is from RNAcentral.
GAUGAACGCUGGCGGCGUGCCUAAUACAUGCAAGUCGAGCGAACGGACGAGAAGCUUGCUUCUCUGAUGUUAGCGGCGGACGGGCGAGUAACACGUGGAUAACCUACCUAUAAGACUGGGAUAAAUUCGGGAAACCGGAGCUAAUACCGGAUAAUAUUUUGAACCGCAUGGUUCAAAAGUGAAAGACGGUCUUGCUGUCACUUAUAGAUGGAUCCGCGCUGCAUUAGCUAGUUGGUAAGGUAACGGCUUACCAAGGCAACGAUGCAUAGCCGACCUGAGAGGGUGAUCGGCCACACUGGAACUGAGACACGGUCCAGACUCCUACGGGAGGCAGCAGUAGGGAAUCUUCCGCAAUGGACGAAAGCCUGACGGAGCAACGCCGCGUGAGUGAUGAAGGUCUUCGGAUCGUAAAACUCUGUUAUUAGGGAAGAACAUAUGUGUAAGUAACUGUGCACAUCUUGACGGUACCUAAUCAGAAAGCCACGGCUAACUACGUG